GACGAACGCUGGCGGCGUGCUUAACACAUGCAAGUCGAACGAUGAAGCCGGAGCUUGCUCUGGUGAAUUAGUGGCGAACGGGUGAGUAACACGUGAGUAACCUGCCUUUGACUCUGGGAUAACUGCGGGAAACUGUAGCUAAUACCGGAUACGACCCUCGGAGGCACAUCCUGGGGGUGGAAAGAAUGUCGGUCAAGGAUGGACUCGCGGCCUAUCAGCUAGUUGGUGAGGUAAAGGCUCACCAAGGCGACGACGGGUAGCCGGCCUGAGAGGGUGACCGGCCACACUGGGACUGAGACACGGCCCAGACUCCUACGGGAGGCAGCAGUGGGGAAUAUUGCACAAUGGGCGCAAGCCUAAUGCAGCAACGCCGCGUGAGGGAUGACGGCCUUCGGGUUGUAAACCUCUUUUAGCAGGGAAGAAGCGAAAGUGACGGUACCUGCAGAAAAAGCACCGGCUAACUACGUGCCAGCAGCCGCCGUAA
RNAcentral lists this ribosomal RNA (484 nucleotides) under uncultured bacterium. RNAcentral's name for it is "partial 16S ribosomal RNA". It matches the Rfam family "Bacterial small subunit ribosomal RNA", at positions 28 to 523 of the family's 1533-position model. The record is from RNAcentral.